Molecule: long non-coding RNA, 211 nt
Filed under: Elaeis guineensis (African oil palm)
Lineage: Eukaryota; Viridiplantae; Streptophyta; Magnoliopsida; Arecales; Arecaceae
Description: long non-coding RNA (EGUI_LNC030743)
Source: RNAcentral
UUUGGGGACAUAUUUCUACUAUCACGCAGAGAAAUGAUGUUCUGAGUGAAAGUCUUUGGAUUGAUUAGCACCUAUUGCUGCCUGUAUGAACCUUCCUCUCUUGAAAUCUGGCCUCAAGUAAUUUAUCCAAUUGACUUUUCCCACAUCUUUCCAAUCUAGAAAGAAGUAAGAGAGAUCACAUUUGUUUGAUAGCUUAGAAGAGAAAGCAGAG